AGAGUUUGAUCCUGGCUCAGGAUGAACGCUAGCGGCAGGCUUAACACAUGCAAGUCGAGGGGUAUAUAGUAGCUUGCUAUUAUAGAGACCGGCAAACGGGUGCGGAACACGUACACAACCUGCCUUUGUCUUGGGGAUAGCCUUCUGAAAAGGAGAUUAAUACCCAAUAGUAUAAUUGAAUGGCAUCAUUUAAUUAUUAAAGAAAUUCGGACAGAGAUGGGUGUGCGUAAGAUUAGGUAGUUGGUGAGGUAACGGCUCACCAAGCCCACGAUCUUUAGCUGAUGUGAGAGCAUGAUCAGCCACACGGGCACUGAGACACGGGCCCGACUCCUACGGGAGGCAGCAGUGAGGAAUAUUGGUCAAUGGACGCAAGUCUGAACCAGCCAUGCCGCGUGAAGGAUGAAGGCGUUCUGCGUUGUAAACUUCUUUUAUCUGGGAAGAAACCACAGAUUUCUAUUUGUGUUGACGGUACCAGAGGAAUAAGCACCGGCUAACUCCGUGCCAGCAGCCGCGGUAAUAC
Molecule: ribosomal RNA, 520 nt
Filed under: uncultured bacterium
Lineage: Bacteria
Description: bacterial SSU rRNA
Rfam family: Bacterial small subunit ribosomal RNA
Source: RNAcentral